RNAcentral lists this ribosomal RNA (945 nucleotides) under uncultured bacterium. Its description in RNAcentral is "partial 16S ribosomal RNA". The stretch from base 21 to 813 matches the Rfam family "Bacterial small subunit ribosomal RNA". The record is from RNAcentral.
UCAGCCGUACUCCGAAUGCUCUAGAUUAAAGUUUGAUCAUGGCUCAGNCUUGAACGCUGGCGGCAGGCCUAACACAUGCAAGUCGAGCGGUAGCACAGGAGAGCUUGCUCUCCGGGUGACGAGCGGCGGACGGGUGAGUAAUGUCUGGGAAGCUGCCUGAUGGAGGGGGAUAACUACUGGAAACGGUAGCUAAUACCGCAUAACGUCUUCGGACCAAAGUGGGGACCUUCGGGCCUCUUGCCAUCGGAUGUGCCCAGAUGGGAUUAGCUAGUAGGUGGGGUAACGGCUCACCUAGGCGACGAUCCCUAGCUGGUCUGGGAGGAUGACCAGCCACACUGGAACUGAGACACGGUCCAGACUCCUACGGGAGGCAGCAGUGGGGAAUAUUGCACAAUGGGCGCAAGCCUGAUGCAGCCAUGCCGCGUGUAUGAAGAAGGCCUUCGGGUUGUAAAGUACUUUUGUUGGGAAAGAAAUCCAGCUGGCUAAUACCCGGUUGGGAUGACGGUACCCAAAGAAUAAGCACCGGCUAACUUCGUGCCAGCAGCCGCGGUAAUACGAAGGGUGCAAAGCGUUACUCGGAAUUACUGGGCGUAAGCGUGCGUAAGUGGNCCGUUUAAGUUCCGUUGGUGAAAGGCCUUGGGGCUCAACUUGGGAACUGCCGGUGGAUACUGGACGACUAGGUGUUGGUCACGGGUUNCGGGAAUCCCUGGUGUUCGGAAAUUCGGUUGAGUCGGGGGGGGCAUCCUUCGCGGAGGGGCGCUCCNUGGCCACCCUUGGCUUGGCNGCNUUUGUNGCCUCUUGGUAUCUUUCNGUGUUCGCCCAUACGAGNAGUANUCUGGUUUGAUGGGCCGUGCUUUGUAAGUCUCUUUGUNGUGGGUUGGUGGCANNUAUAGGCNGUCGGGAGUGUUUCGCGUCUCAUAUUGUUNACUGGAUCGUNNUCNGNGC